UCCACCCCUGCAGAGAUGUUGCACGCCCU
RNAcentral lists this non-coding RNA (29 nucleotides) under Homo sapiens (human). Lineage: Eukaryota; Metazoa; Chordata; Mammalia; Primates; Hominidae. The record is from RNAcentral.